AAUUUCGAAGAAACGAGCCUGAACCAGAAGACAUACUCGACCACCAGGUCGCGUGCAUCCAGC
RNAcentral lists this small RNA (63 nucleotides) under Arabidopsis thaliana (thale cress). RNAcentral's name for it is "ATSL039920". Lineage: Eukaryota; Viridiplantae; Streptophyta; Magnoliopsida; Brassicales; Brassicaceae. The record is from RNAcentral.